Molecule: non-coding RNA, 970 nt
Filed under: Pseudococculinidae sp. MNHN-IM-2013-40847
Lineage: Eukaryota; Metazoa; Mollusca; Gastropoda; Lepetellida; Pseudococculinidae
Description: 12S ribosomal RNA
Rfam family: Microsporidia small subunit ribosomal RNA (bases 171-970)
Source: RNAcentral
AUUGAAUUUGGUUUUGGUUCUUAAAUUUAGCUGUUAUUAUUAUGAAAUACAUGGUACUUUUAGGUAGUAAUGAGUAAAAAAUAUUUUUAUUUAUGUUUUUAAAAAAUGUUUUUGAAGAUGUGGUUAAUAUUAUAGUUUUAUAUGUUAUAUUUAAUAGAUAGUCAUUUUUACACCAGUAUUGAAGAUUAAAUUUAUAAACGUUAGUUUGAUUUAGUAAAUAGUAAUUUAUAUUUUAUCUAUUUAAGAAUAGAAUAGUGAAGAUCUGGCUAAGACUUGUGCCAGCAGCUGCGGUUACACAAGCAGAUCAAGUUAAAUUUAUUCAGCAUAAAAGAAGGUUAGGAAUAUAUUUAGGAAAAUAAAGAUAAAUUAAUUUAGAAGUAUAAUUUAUAAAUUUUAAUAAAAUUAAUUAUUAUUUUAAAGUUUGAUGCCUUGAAAUUUUAAGUAUAAACUAGGAUUAGAUACCCUAUUAUUUUAAAAAGUAAAAAUUGUUUGAUUUCUGCUAGGGUAGUACGAGUAAAAUAUUACUUAAAACUUAAAAGACUUGGCGGUGCCUUAUUUCUUUCUAGGGGAAUCUGUUUCAUAAUUUGAUAAUCCGCAUUUUAGCUUACCUAGUUUUGUAUAUAUGAAUUAACAUAUUUUUCAGUUAGUAUACCGUCGUCGUUAGAUUAUUUUUGAGAAUAGAGAAGUAAUCGGAUAAAAUAGUUUGUUUGUUUGUAAAUAAAUUUUUAAGAUGUCAGAUCAAGGUGCAGCUUAUAAUUAGGGGAGAAUGGAUUACAGUAAGUAUUUUUUUUGGAAUAGAUUUUGUAAUAGAUCUAUGAAAUUGGACUUAGGAGUAAUUUUUUAAGUAAGUAGAAUUAUAAAAAUGAAUUUUUUUUUGUUCUAAGGUGUGCACAAAUCGCCCGUCGCUCUUGUUGAAAGAUAAGAUAAGUCGUAACAUAGUAAAGGUACUGGAAAGUGUCUUUGGAUAAAU